Molecule: microRNA precursor, 68 nt
Filed under: Bombyx mori (domestic silkworm)
Lineage: Eukaryota; Metazoa; Arthropoda; Insecta; Lepidoptera; Bombycidae
Description: mir-2774 microRNA precursor family
Rfam family: mir-2774 microRNA precursor family
Source: Rfam by way of RNAcentral
ACAACGUUCGGACCGUCAGUCUACCGAGCAAACAUCACUGGCUCGGUGGAAGAUCUUCCCUUUGUCGU